Long non-coding RNA from Haliotis rubra (blacklip abalone), 1995 nucleotides. RefSeq lists it as uncharacterized. The transcript has 2 exons. The record is from RefSeq and is a predicted model, not a curated record. NCBI's taxonomy places the organism in Eukaryota, Metazoa, Mollusca, Gastropoda, Lepetellida, Haliotidae.
UUCUUGUGUUUCAGGUAAAGACAAAUGUAUACUGAAUGUUUGGGACAUGUGUCAACCAUGGCAUGUGGGGUCCUCUGUUCCCUUUACACAUCGUUCCCAAUCACAGCCUAAGGCCAAAAGCACAUUCUUGUGUUUCAGGUAAUGAUUUCAAAAAUAUGUGAUUAAAUAUUCGGAAGAUCAGUUAAAAACGUUAAACAAACGUCUUGAUCGGUUUUCUAGAUUUGUUACUUAUGUGAUAAAAUAUAUUCAAGUGACAAUACGUCACCAGGAAUAUAAGUAAUGUGUUUCUGUCUACCUAGUAUUUACAGUGUCAUCCCGAACAGUAAGGAGAAACUUUAUGUUAAAUGCAGUGUUAUACGUCCUGUUCAUCAUAGUUCCACAUGGUUAAUAAAUUUGAAUGUUUACACUGUUACUCGACAUUUACACCUGCAUUUAGCAUUCAUUUCCCAAAAAUGACUGUUUAGAUAUAAGUGUCUGCAUUAACGUAUGAAUCGUACGAUAUUUUUAAAUUCAGUGAAAAUGAACAAUUCUAGAAACUAAUAGUGAUGAUUAUUUAUAUUAUUUAUAUAAAUAUAUAUAUUAUUAUAAUUCAUUUGUGGGUAAUAAGGGUUCUCAUAUUUUCAUGCAAUAAAGUCAAAACACUGUUUGAUAUUAUUUUCGUCUUAGAAUUAAACACAUUAUACAUUUUUAUUUCAUGGUUUACGGAUAUAGCCUAUUAGUUUCGGUUGACGGAAAUAGAAACAGGGUUGUGUAGAUCAUUAAACCAGGCUUUCCAUGGGGCGUUUUGGUUGUUGUCGAAGAAGAAAUGAAUUUAGUGUUGUAGGAUUAUUUAAUGUUAAUGUUUGAAUGCAGGCUAUUUAUUGGGAUAACAGUAAUAUGCAUGUUCCUGUUCAGUCAAAGAAUGAGUUAGGGCAUUUAGUGUAAUACCGCUAAGGAAAUCAGUCCAAGACGUUCUCAUUAGUGGAUUCGAGUUGUCAAAUGCUAUAUACAAAUGUAUCCUAUCAAAAAUUAUAAAACAGAUAACAGUUACUUUUUCGUCAAUGAUAAAUCGAUUUCUGGUCAAAAUAUUGUUAAUCAUUAUUGUAGCUUUGUUUCAAAUCCGUAAACCGGAAAAUAAAAACAGCCUCGCCUUAAAGAAAAGUUCAAAAGGCAGCUAAUCUUCUAAUUUUCACUUGUUUGCUAUUUGCACCGUCAGUUUGUAUAACUGUACUAUCAGCUAGUAAACAGGCAUUACGUAUCCCCAGAAUAAUUAUUUGUUACGGUGUCACAUUUAGCGUUGUUGAUAUAUUUAUUUACUUUGUUCUGUAUAUUUGUAUAUUUCACUGUGUGAAAAGGUGCAGCUAUACACUCACUGGAAUACUGUUGUUUAGUUGGUAAAACUAAUAACAUGGUACUUAUCGAUUGUCCGGUAUUCGUUCGCAUAGCAUUAUCAUGGUAGGCCCAAUUGCCACAUCGUCAACAGGACUAUUUUAGGAAAUUAGAAAUAUUUUGAAUAUUCUGACAAUGUUUCAAACAAGGAAUAUUAAGAAGUUAGAAAACUGAUAUUUUGAAUGACAUUGUAUGUUGCAAUUUGUACAUGUAUUUGAAUAUUAUUGACAUCACAAAUCACGCAUCUUGAAUUCCUAUUCAAAAUGUGUUGCAAAUGUCGUGAAAAGAAGUGUUUUUAAACUGUUUCAGGUACAUGUGAUGAAACAAAAAUGCAUUUGUUGCGUUUCUUUUUGUCGUCAGUAUAUACAACAUUGUAGCAUAUGGUGUGGAGUAAAGGGUGGUGUGUUGUACAUACUGCAAAUAUAGACUGAUAAGUAGUUGUGCCGUCGGGUGGAAAACAGUAUCCGAACUGCCAAAAUGUACAACAGUUGUACAUUUUGUUUCACCGUUGAAAUUAACACUGUUCGUUUUUUAAAUAUAAAUUUAUUUGUUGACGAGGUCAACGUAAUACUAAUCCUUAUUGUACAGAGAGAGAUAAAACAAGCUAUUAAAACUCGAAAAUACCAA